This 71-nucleotide transfer RNA is filed under the name Sceloporus formosus. Its description in RNAcentral is "tRNA-Trp". The record is from RNAcentral. Lineage: Eukaryota; Metazoa; Chordata; Lepidosauria; Squamata; Phrynosomatidae.
AGAGACUUAGGAUAAUCACAAACCGGGGGCCUUCAAAGCCCCAAACAGGGACUAUAAUCCCCUAGUCUCUG